GAUGAACGCUAGCGGCAGGCCUAACACAUGCAAGUCGAGGGGCAGCACAGAAACAGCAAUGUUUUGGUGGCGACCGGCGGACGGGUGCGUAACGCGUAUGCAACCUACCUUUAACAGGGGGAUAACGGAGAGAAAUUUCCACUAAUACCCCAUAACAUCGAUCAAGGCAUCUUGAUUGGUUGAAAACUCCGGUGGUUAAAGAUGGGCAUGCGUUGUAUUAGGUAGUUGGUGAGGUAAUGGCUCACCAAGCCUACGAUACAUAGGGGGACUGAGAGGUUAGCCCCCCACACUGGUACUGAGACACGGACCAGACUCCUACGGGAGGCAGCAGUGAGGGAUAUUGGUCAAUGGGGGCAACCCUGAACCAGCCAUGCCGCGUGCAGGAAGACGGCUCUAUGAGUUGUAAACUGCUUUUAAACAGGGACAAAGCACAGUAUGUAUACUGUGUUGAAGGUACUGUAAGAAUAAGGAUCGGCUAACUCCGUGCCAGCCGCCGCGGUAA
This 502-nucleotide ribosomal RNA is filed under the name uncultured bacterium. RNAcentral's name for it is "partial 16S ribosomal RNA". It matches the Rfam family "Bacterial small subunit ribosomal RNA", at positions 28 to 523 of the family's 1533-position model. The record is from RNAcentral.